ACCCAUUCCCCUCAGUUCCACACUAACUUUUCAACGUGUGCACUUGAGGGAAGUUGGCUGUUCGAUCGGCUACGGAGGGGUUUUUCCUUCCCUUUUCUCCCACCUAUACACUUUCCCACGUUCUGCAACAACAUCGACGAGACAAGCAGAGAACUUCAACUGAAUAACUAUCCGCUAUUAUUUCAUACAAUCUCUGUCCCUGAGGACCAUGUUGGAAUCCGGCACUCUCCAUCAGCACACUGCAUACGCACAGGGGACUGGGAUGUGUAGCGUGUGUGAGGAGGAUAUGGAAUAUGCUGGGGGAGAAAGAGGCGCUGCUCUGGGCUAGGUAAGAGGAGACCUGUGGUCAAGAAGAGAGCUCCAGUAUUGGAAGGCUGGCUGAAGCACUCACCAAACAGCUGGGAGUGUUCACGCUUUCUUUAUGCCAAAACAACAGAGCCUGAAAUAGAGUUUCAACUCAGCAGAUGUGGCAAGAACAAUCACAGGGGUGGAACAACACGUUUUCACACAUUUUUCAGUUUCGGUUCAAAUUGACCUUAAAUAAAAAGUGAAACAAUCAG
Molecule: long non-coding RNA, 560 nt
Organism: Oncorhynchus keta (chum salmon)
Lineage: Eukaryota; Metazoa; Chordata; Actinopteri; Salmoniformes; Salmonidae
Exons: 4
Source: RefSeq, a predicted model, not a curated record